CUGGGAAUUUAUCCGAAAACCCAUCAAACAAAGUAGGAG
This 39-nucleotide non-coding RNA is filed under the name Flavobacteria bacterium BBFL7. The record is from RNAcentral. Lineage: Bacteria; Pseudomonadati; Bacteroidota; Flavobacteriia.